RNA transcript from Asparagus officinalis (garden asparagus), 2036 nucleotides. RefSeq lists it as uncharacterized. The record is from RefSeq and is a predicted model, not a curated record. Lineage: Eukaryota; Viridiplantae; Streptophyta; Magnoliopsida; Asparagales; Asparagaceae. The transcript has 3 exons.
GCGAUGAAAGAAAGAAGACGAGAUCGAAAACCGCCAUGGAUUCAUCGGUAAACAGAAGCCGGUGGCGAAAGCGAAGCCAACGAAACAAACCGCUCCUCUUCUCAAUCUCCCUCCUCUUCCUCCUCUCUCUCCUCCUCCUCCUCCUCCUCCUCCUCGUCUCCUCCAAAACCCUAACAUCACUCAUCCCCUUCUCUCCCAAAACCCUAGCUCCCAAAUCGAAGAACCCCUGCGAAACCCUAGCCCUAGCUGGAGAGAGAUUUCUGUGGUACGCUCCCCACAGUGGGUUCAGUAAUCAGCUGUCGGAGCUCAGGAACGCCAUCUUGAUCUCUGCGAUCCUCAACCGGACGCUGGUUGUCCCGCCGGUGCUCGAUCAUCACGCGGUGGCGCUCGGGAGUUGCCCUAAGUUUAGGGUUAAGGGCCCGGCUGAGCUUCGGGCGGCGGUUUGGGAUCAUAUCAUGCAGCUCGCCGAAGAGCGAAGGUAUGUGUCAAUGGCCGACAUUAUUGAUUUGUCUUCAAUAACAUCUUCCAAGGUCAGGAUAAUUGAUUUUAGGGUAUUUGCUUCUCUAUGGUGCGGUUUAAAUAUGGGCAAUGCUUGCUUUGGUAGUUUAUGUUGUGCUAUAUCUGGUGAUGGAUCCUUGUCAACUAACUCCAGUCCAUGCAGAUCAUUGCUCUCUGGAUCACAAGGUAACGUUAAUCAUUGUAUUUAUGCUUUAGAAGAAGAUUGUAGAACAAUAGUUUGGACGUACCAACAAGAAAAUGAUGGGAUGUUAGAUAAAUUUCAGCCUGACAGAGAAUUGCAGAAGAAAAAAAAGAUCUCUUAUGUUAGAAAGCGUAGAGAUAUAUUUAAGGCUCUGGGGCCUGGCUCUAAUGCUGAAACAGCAACAGUUCUGGCUUUGGGGAGUGUUUUCUCUUCACCUUAUAAAGGCUCGGAGCUUUACAUUGAUAUCCAUGAAGCACCAAGAGACCCUUUUAUACAGUCGUUGAUUAAGAAAACUGAGUUCCUACCAUUUUCUCCCGAGGUAAUUGCUGCUGGAAAGGAAUUUGCUGUACAGAAUAUAAAAGAACCGUUUUUAUGUGCACAGCUUAGAUUGCUAGACGGGCAGUUCAAAAACCAUUGGAAAUCCACAUUUUCAGCACUUAAACAGAAGAUACUAUCAUUGAAAGCCUCGGGUCCAAUUCACAUUUUCAUAAUGACAGAUUUACCAACAAUGAACUGGACUGGAACUUAUCUUGAAGAACUCAAGGAAGACACAAAGUCCUACAAGUUGUUUACACUGCGGGAAAGAGAUGACUUGAUAGUUCAAGCUGCAAAGAAACUCAUGGCAGCUGAAAAUAGCUUGAAGUCCAGUUUUCUUCCGAGAAAUCUUGAUGGAAUUAAAAAGAAAAGAGAUUGUGAUCGUGUAAUGCUACCGGAUGUUUUGCUGUAUGUUGAGGAGACUGUUUGUAGCUGUGCUACAAUGGGAUUUGUUGGGACUGCUGGAUCGACUAUAGCAGAGAGCAUAGAGAUAAUGAGAAAAAACAAUGCUUGCGAAUUGUAGAGAUAAAAUAUCCUCCUCUAUAGUUGGAGAUUUUUGACAUUGGAGGGUAUUGAUGUUUACAUAGAGGACAUUGGGAGGCUUUUUACAGUCUGAUGAGUAAUUGGUAUCUCUGAAGAAAGUUUUCUGGCUUUUCUUAAAGAUGCAAAAUACCAGUGGAAAAAGGAGCUGAUAUCUGAGAUUUCUCACUCGAGGUAGCUACACCUAAUAUUGGUGCUGACUAAUUUUUCCAAAGUCUGAAUUAUGGAGAAGAACCACAAUCUUUUUCUAGUUAAUUGCUAGAAAGGUAGCAAGAGAUUGGGAAGGAAUUUCAAAUGUUCAUCAAGCAAAUAAUGCUAGAAUUUGGAUUCUCUGGAAUAGUGAUAUACUCUCAGUUCAAUACCUGCGAAGCUCUUGUCUUAUCUUUUCUUUGUGAUUUGGUCCUCAUAUUACAGAUGCAACCCUUUAUACUGUGGAGAUGUAAUCAUUUGUAUUUUAUAGACAAUUGUAUUUAUGCUCAUG